AGCGGUAACGGGUCCAGCUUGCUGGAUGCCGACGAGCGGCGGACGGGUGAGUAAUGCAUAGGAAUCUGCCCAGUCGUGGGGGAUAACCUGGGGAAACCCAGGCUAAUACCGCAUACGUCCUACGGGAGAAAGCGGGGGCUCUUCGGACCUCGCGCGAUUGGAUGAGCCUAUGUCGGAUUAGCUAGUUGGUGAGGUAACGGCUCACCAAGGCGACGAUCCGUAGCUGGUCUGAGAGGAUGAUCAGCCACACCGGGACUGAGACACGGCCCGGACUCCUACGGGAGGCAGCAGUGGGGAAUAUUGGACAAUGGGCGCAAGCCUGAUCCAGCCAUGCCGCGUGUGUGAAGAAGGCUUUCGGGUUGUAAAGCACUUUCAGUGGGGAAGAAAGCGUGCCGGCCAAUACCCGGUACGGACGACAUCACCCACAGAAGAAGCACCGGCUAACUCCGUGCCAGCAGCCGCGGUAAUACGGAGGGUGCGAGCGUUAAUCGGAAUUACUGGGCGUAAAGCGCGCGUAGGCGGCUAAGUAAGCCGGUUGUGAAAGCCCCGGGCUCAACCUGGGAAUGGCAUCCGGAACUGUUUAGCUAGAGUGCAGGAGAGGAAGGUAGAAUUCCCGGUGUAGCGGUGAAAUGCGUAGAGAUCGGGAGGAAUACCAGUGGCGAAGGCGGCCUUCUGGACUGACACUGACGCUGAGGUGCGAAAGCAUGGGUAGCAAACAGGAUUAGAUACCCUGGUAGUCCAUGCCGUAAACGAUGUCGACUAGCCGUUGGGUCCCUUGAGGACUUAGUGGCGCAGUUAACGCGAUAAGUCGACCGCCUGGGGAGUACGGCCGCAAGGUUAAAACUCAAAUGAAUUGACGGGGGCCCGCACAAGCGGUGGAGCAUGUGGUUUAAUUCGAUGCAACGCGAAGAACCUUACCUACCCUUGACAUCCUGCGAACCCUCCGGAGACGGAGGGGUGCCUUCGGGAACGCAGAGACAGGUGCUGCAUGGCUUUCGUCAGCUCGUGUUGUGAAAUGUUGG
This 1022-nucleotide ribosomal RNA is filed under the name Modicisalibacter zincidurans. RNAcentral's name for it is "bacterial SSU rRNA". It matches the Rfam family "Bacterial small subunit ribosomal RNA", at positions 65 to 1078 of the family's 1533-position model. The record is from RNAcentral. Lineage: Bacteria; Pseudomonadati; Pseudomonadota; Gammaproteobacteria; Oceanospirillales; Halomonadaceae.